GGGCUACUGCACGUCUCAAGAUUAAGCCAUGCAUGUCUAAGCAGAAGCCGCACAACGGUAAAGCCGCGAAUGGCUCAUUACAACAGCCGUCGUUUCUUGGAUCUCUAAUUUUACUUGGAUAACUGUGGUAAUUCUAGAGCUAAUACACGCACUAAAGCUCUGACCUUACGGGACGAGCGCAUUUAUUAGAACAAAACCAAUCGGGUUUCGGCCCGUCCGUUGGUGACUCUGAAUAACUCUGCCGAUCGCACGGUCUCGAACCGGCGACGUAUCUUUCAAGUGUCUGCCUUAUCAACUGUCGAUGGUAGUUUAUGUGCCUACCAUGGUUGUAACGGGUAACGGAGAAUAAGGGUUCGACUCCGGAGAGGGAGCCUGAGAAACGGCUACCACAUCCAAGGAAGGCAGCAGGCGCGCAAAUUACCCACUCUCGGCACGAGGAGGUAGUGACGAAAAAUAACGAGACGGAUCUCUUUGAGGCCCGUUAUCGGAAUGAGAACAAUUCAAAUCCUUUAACGAGGAUCUAGCGGAGGGCAAGUCUGGUGCCAGCAGCCGCGGUAAUUCCAGCUCCGCAGGUGUAUAUCUAUGCUGCUGCGGUUAAAAAGCUCGUAGUUGGAUCUGCGUGCUCGGAACCGGUUGACUCACUGAGUUCUUACUGGUCUCCGGCGCUUUAUUUGCUGGUUUUCCCUUGAUGCUCUUAAUCGGGUGUCUUGGGUGGCUAGCGUGUUUACUUUGAAAAAAUUAGAGUGCUCAAUACAGGCGCAAAGCCUUGAAUAGUGGUGCAUGGAAUAAUAGAAUAGGACCUCGGCUCUAUUUUGUUGGUUUUCGGAACGCGAGGUAAUGAUUAAGAGGGACAGACGGGGGCAUUCGUAUUGCGACGUUAGAGGUGAAAUUCUUGGAUCGUCGCAAGACGGACGACUGCGAAAGCAUUUGCCAAGAAUGUUUUCAUUAAUCAAGAACGAAAGUUAGAGGUUCGAAGGCGAUCAGAUACCGCCCUAGUUCUAACCGUAAACGAUGCCACUAGCGAUCCGCAGCGUUAAACACGACAUGCGGCAGCUUCCCGGAAACGAAGUGUCUGUCUGGGGAGUAUGGUGCAAGCUGAACUAAGAUGACGGAAGGCACACAGGAGUGGAGCCUGCGCUAAUUGA
This 1145-nucleotide ribosomal RNA is filed under the name uncultured eukaryote. RNAcentral's name for it is "SSU rRNA". It matches the Rfam family "Eukaryotic small subunit ribosomal RNA", at positions 20 to 1198 of the family's 1831-position model. The record is from RNAcentral.